CGUAGGCGGCGCGGUAAGUCACUUGUGAAAUCUCUGAGCUUAACUCAGAACGGCCAAGUGAUACUGCAGUGCUAGAGUGUGGAAGGGGCAAUCGGAAUUCUUGGUGUAGCGGUGAAAUGCGUAGAUAUCAAGAGGAACACCUGAGGUGAAGACGGGUUGCUGGGCCAACACUGACGCUGAGGCGCGAAGCCAGGGAGCAAACG
Molecule: ribosomal RNA, 203 nt
Filed under: uncultured bacterium
Lineage: Bacteria
Description: partial 16S ribosomal RNA
Rfam family: Bacterial small subunit ribosomal RNA
Source: RNAcentral